Molecule: RNA transcript, 3660 nt
Organism: Stegastes partitus (bicolor damselfish)
Lineage: Eukaryota; Metazoa; Chordata; Actinopteri; Pomacentridae
Gene: txndc5
Gene name: thioredoxin domain containing 5
Exons: 11
Source: RefSeq, a predicted model, not a curated record
AGUCCACAUUCUUCCACACGGAGCCUGCCAGAGGGGCGUGCUCGUCCAAAGUCGGUCUUUUCACACCAGCAGGGACACUGUUCACCUACAGAGAUUCACCAUGGCUUCAGCACUGCACUGCAAAUCCUUUACGUUGUGUCUUAUUUAUAUGUCGCUGCUGUUCGCCGGCGCGUUUUGCGACGCCGAUGUAGAAGAAGAUGAGCAUGCCAAGCACACAUACACUGUGGAGAUGUUCACUGAGGCGGUGCCCACUGCACCCCACUUUGUCAUGUUUUACGCCCCGUGGUGCGGCCAUUGUCAGAGAUUACAGCCAACAUGGAAUGAAUUGGCAGACAAAUACAACAGCAUGGAUGAGCCCCCCGUGUAUGUGGUAAAAGUAGACUGCGUCCAGGACACCAAGUUCUGCUCCAAUGUCCAUGGGGUUCGAGGAUACCCUACGUUGAAGUUGUUUAAGCCCGAUCAGGAAGCAGUUAAAUACCAGGGUCCCAGAGAUCUGCAGUCUCUGGAGACCUGGAUGCUAAAGACACUCCAGGAUGAGCCUUCUGAACCAGAGACUGAGCUGGAGCCUCCUAAAGCCCCAGAGCCCAAACAGGGCAUGUAUGAGCUCACUGCCCUCAACUUUAAGACCCAUAUAACCAAAGGUGCACACUUUGUUAAGUUCUUCGCGCCCUGGUGUGGCCACUGCAAAGCCAUGGCUCCAACCUGGGAACAGCUGGCCACUACCUUUGAACACUCUGAUAACGUAAAGAUAGGAAAGGUGGACUGUACGCAGCACUAUGAGGUGUGCUCUGAGAACGGUGUGAGAGGAUAUCCCACGCUGCUCUUCUUCUACAAUGGACAGAAGACAGAACAAUACAAAGGAAAAAGAGACCUGGAAUCUUUCAAAGACUUUGUCGACAAUCAGCUGAAGGCUGCACUCACUGAAGAGCAAGGGCAGGAACCAAAUAAGGAACAAAAAGCAAAUGAGAUCCCCAGUGAUGAGCCAGCCAAAGAGGAAGAAAAGUCCAGCGUGUUGGUCCUGACUGAGACCAACUUUGACGAGGCAGUAGCCAAGGGCUUGACCUUCAUCAAAUUCUACGCUCCCUGGUGCGGUCACUGUAAGAAUCUCGCUCCAACAUGGGAGGAUCUUUCCAAGAAGGAGUUUCCUGGCCUCACUGAUGUCAAGAUUGCCAAGGUGGACUGCACUGUCGAGCGCACGCUCUGCAACAAAUACUCUGUGCGAGGUUACCCCACCUUGAUUAUCUUCAGAGCCGGGGAGCAGGGAGACGAGCAUCACGGUGGGCGCGACAUGGAGAGUCUGCACAACUUUGUGAUGAGGCAGGCGAGAGACGAGCUGUAGAAACAGGGAAGUCAGCGCUCACUCUCCACCACUCUACUCGCCCACACUGCAUAGAUAUGCAGUGUGGGCCACCACUCUCUCUCCUACGGUGGCCAAAACCUCUUUAUAUCUCUGUCUCCACUCGGGUGCUGUUUAGGAAGGAGUCAGCCAACAACAGACUGAUGCAGUCGGUCCAUUAAUAAAGGACAGAAUAACUCGGUAGAGUGUUUGGAAUGUGAAUGUAUUUCUCAUUGCUGUUGCCCGACCUUAAAUCUUCUGCAGAUUGUAUGUUAUUGGUUGGGUGUACAAACAAAGUUAUAUGUCUGACAACCACUUUACAAGCACUGCUCAACCUAUCAGAACCAGAACUCCUCGCACAGAUAUCAAACUAUGUUGUUUAUUAAAAGGGCGGCACUAAAGUUUCUGCCUGUUUCAAAUAAAAAAAAUCUAUUGUUUCUGACUUUUUUUUAAAUUUUAAAUGUGAAAUCUGUUGUUAAAUCGUAAGCCAUUAAUGUUACUGUACUGUCACUCAAAAAGCUGCAAAGGUUGUGGCACCCCAAUGUGAAGUUGAGUGUUAAGAUGAAGGUACUUCAUAUCCAUGCCAGCGAUGGCUCAUCUGACUUAACUCUCAGGGAAACACCCAUUCAGACUAGAAGAAGUUGUGAUGGUGACAUUGUUAUCACAGGAGUCUGAUCAUGGCUCAUGGACAUUACAUUAUUUUCUAUUAACAAUCCUGACCAGACUUUGAAAGAGUUCUUGUAAGAAUCUCAGUCCUACAUCCUACAUCAUUUCUUACUCCUGUGAUCUUAAUCAGCCACCCUUCUCUUCUUCUAGUAUUCAGAGUCUCAGGCCUGGACCAUUUUGCCCCAUUUCUCUAUUACUGAACUGCUUCUGUUUAGUUUUCCUGUUGUUCAGACUGCUCAUGUUGGAUGGCUUCAUAUGGAGGGCUCCACACUAACUUUAUGAACAGGUAGCACGAAUACUCAUUACUAAAAAAGCAAAAACAAAUUAACAGCACUACUAAAUUAAUGGCAACAGCUUCAUAUUUUUUACAUCUUAAUUAUAAUACAAAUAAAUGCUUUGGUAAUAAAUGACAAACUUCCAGAAAUAACAGUACUUACCUGGAUGCCUCCCGUGCCUGUGGCACAUUUGCACAAGAUAAUCAAAGUCAGUGUUUCACUGACAUUAUCUCCGGCUGUGACGUCAGUGGGCUGCAACAUUAGGACUGUUGAGUCUUUCUAAAAGACGGCAGAAUAUUUCUUUCUUCCAUGCUUGUUCCUCCUCUGAUGGAUUUAAGUUCGCUCCUCCUGUGAAUGCUAUGUAGCGACAUGAAUCUCCUAAAUUUCCACCCAAAAUGCUCCAAACUUUUAUUCAUAAUUGCUAACAUACAAAAUUCUCAAGCAGGUUAGAGGCCAAAAAAAAAGAUGUGGAGAAAAGUAAAAACCUUGUAGAUUUGGGGACAGUUGGAUCACUUAAAGCCAGUUUUGAGGAGUAAAGCACCGUCAUACAACUGUCACAUCACCUUUCUGACGAUGAUUGUCAUUUGUUCUUAGCUUAGCGAUUGAACAAGUUGCAUGUGUGGGUCAGAUUUUCGUGGUCCCACUAAAUAUAUCUGGAUGAUUUACCGUCUGAUGGUAGAAAACCGUGUUUUGUCAGACUAACUAGUUGAGGCACUUAAAAUACUGGACUGAAUAAAGCUCUGUGGAAGGUGGAGGGCUAAACUCCAGCUGUACCAGGUGCUGAUUCGCUUUCAGUAAAAUGAUUUAGAAUGAGAGGCUCUGUUUGCUAAAGUUGGCUCAUCUGGUUUUAAUUUCCUAUUUAGAACUGUACACACCGAUUGGAUGAAUCAAACUAAAACCACAAAUCCAGACUGUACAGGACAUUGUUUUGUUUAUUUUUUUCUUUUGGAGAUUCAAAGGCCAAGAAUAAGUCAUAAACCUGAGUGUAAAAGCAUUUGCAGUUUUGUCAAUUAAAGCUUUUUUUUUUUAAACUUCUUUGAUAACCCACGGUGUAGUAAACUGCAGCCACCUGUCAGGCCAUGCACAUUCCACUGCAAAUGCUCUUUGACCCAGGUUAUGUGACAAGUAUGUUCCACAUGAUGCAGGGCACCAUUUAUUGUCUAACCCAGGUACACAAACAGUGAGAGACACAGCAGUUUUGUUUUGUUUUUUGUCAGUAAAAGUUUUCAUGGACAGCACAUGGUCAAAAGAACUCCAGUGACGGAAGUAUUUUAUUUCCUUUUCAUGGGUCGUGGGUUGUGCACCACCCAUAGAUUUUGUACAAAAAGAGUGAAUAAUGGCAAGUUGUAACAUGAGAUUUCGUAAUAAAUUUUUUUCAAAAAU